Molecule: ribosomal RNA, 490 nt
Filed under: uncultured bacterium
Lineage: Bacteria
Description: bacterial SSU rRNA
Rfam family: Bacterial small subunit ribosomal RNA
Source: RNAcentral
AUGAACGCUAGCGGCAGGCUUAACACAUGCAAGUCGAGCGGAGAGGAGGGAGCUUGCUUCCGAAUCUUAGCGGCGGACGGGUGAGUAACGCGUGAGCAACCUGCCUUGAACUGGGGGAUAACGCAUCGAAAGAUGUGCUAAUACCGCGUAAGACCACAGCACCGCAUGGUGCAGGGGUCAAAGGAGCAAUCCGGUUUAAGAUGGGCUCGCGUCCGAUUAGCUAGUUGGUGAGAUAACAGCCCACCAAGGCAACGAUCGGUAGCCGACCUGAGAGGGUGAUCGGCCACAUUGGAACUGAGACACGGCCCAGACUCCUACGGGAGGCAGCAGUAGGGAAUCUUCGGCAAUGGGCGAAAGCCUGACCGAGCAACGCCGCGUGAAUGAUGAAGGCCUUCGGGUUGUAAAAUUCUGUUAUAAGGGAAGAAUGACUCUAGUAGGAAAUGGCUAGAGUGUGACGGUACCUUAUGAGAAAGCCACGGCUAACUACGUG